AUAAUUAUAACAACUAUUUUGCAUGGGCGAUCAAGAAGGUCCAUGGCCUAGGUUGGUGACCUCCAUUGCACUCAGGAGGGGUGUCCGCCUAAGGUCGGCCCAACUGGUCGAGCCUACGUCAUAAUUUGUAGUAGUGGUGGGCAAUGAUAGGAGACCCAG
This 159-nucleotide small nuclear RNA is filed under the name Helianthus annuus (common sunflower). RNAcentral's name for it is "sRNA HanXRQr2_Chr13g0589131". It matches the Rfam family "U1 spliceosomal RNA". From Rfam's summary of the family: U1 is a small nuclear RNA (snRNA) component of the spliceosome (involved in pre-mRNA splicing). The record is from RNAcentral. Lineage: Eukaryota; Viridiplantae; Streptophyta; Magnoliopsida; Asterales; Asteraceae.